Molecule: ribosomal RNA, 254 nt
Filed under: uncultured bacterium
Lineage: Bacteria
Description: partial 16S ribosomal RNA
Rfam family: Bacterial small subunit ribosomal RNA
Source: RNAcentral
GACGGAGGAUGCAAGUGUUAUCCGGAAUCACUGGGCGUAAAGCGUCUGUAGGUGGUUUAAUAAGUCAACUGUUAAAUCUUGAUGGCUCAACUUCAAGAUCGCAGUCGAAACUAUUAGACUAGAGUAUAGUAGAGGUAAAGGGAAUUUCCAGUGGAGCGGUGAAAUGCGUAGAUAUUGGAAAGAACACCGAUGGCGAAAGCACUUUACUGGGCUAUUACUAACACUCAGAGACGAAAGCUAGGGUAGCAAAUGGG